RNAcentral lists this ribosomal RNA (1117 nucleotides) under Glyphis cicatricosa. Its description in RNAcentral is "eukaryotic LSU rRNA". It matches the Rfam family "Eukaryotic large subunit ribosomal RNA", at positions 143 to 1099 of the family's 3401-position model. Lineage: Eukaryota; Fungi; Ascomycota; Lecanoromycetes; Ostropales; Graphidaceae. The record is from RNAcentral.
UUGUAAUUUGGAGAAGGUGCUUCGGGUGCGACGGCGUUCCAAGUCCCCUGGAACAGGGCGUCACAGAGGGUGAGAGUCCCGUCCGGAUCGCGCGUCCAGCCCGUGUGAAGCCCUUUCGACGAGUCGAGUUGUUUGGGAAUGCAGCUCAAAAUGGGUGGUAAAUUUCAUCUAAGGCUAAAUACCGGCCGGAGACCGAUAGCGCACAAGUAGAGUGAUCGAAAGAUGAAAAGCACUUUGAAAAGAGAGUCAAACAGUACGUGAAAUUGUUGAAAGGGAAGGGCUUGCAGCCAGACUCGCACGCGGGGGCUCCGCCGCUCUUCGGGGCGGUUCACUCCCCCGCGAUCGGGCCAGCAUCGGUUUCGGCGGCCGGACAAAGGCCCUGGGAACGUAGCUCUCCUCGGAGAGUGUUAUAGCCCGGGGUGCAAUGCGGCCAGCCGGGACCGAGGACCGCGCUUCGGCUUGGAUGCUGGCGUAAUGGCUGCCAGCCGCCCGUCUUGAAACACGGACCGGUGAGUCACUCCCUACGUUUUCCAGCGCGCGCCUUCCUAUACAUCCUGGGUUAUACUAAUUAUUGCUUCAGAGGAGUCGACCAAUCAUGCGAGUCUGUGGGUGUCAAACCCCCGGGCGCAAUGAAAGUGAACGCAGGUGGGAGCCUCCGGGCGCACCAUCGACCGAUCUUGAUGUCUUCGGAUGGAUUUGAGUACGAGCACGGCUGGUCGGACCCGAAAGAUGGUGAACUAUGCGCGGAUAGGGUGAAGCCAGAGGAAACUCUGGUGGAGGCUCGCAGCGGUUCUGACGUGCAAAUCGAUCGUCAAAUCUACGCAUAGGGGCGAAAGACUAAUCGAAUCAUCUAGGUAAGCCCUCUGUGCCGACCCUCUACCUCUUUUUUUUUUUCUUCUAACGGAUUCUACAGUAGCUGGUUCCUGCCGAAGUUUCCCUCAGGAUAGCAGCAACGAGCAUGGAGUUUCAUGAGGUAAGAUACAUCCGGGAUCAAGAAAGUUAGGUGGCUGACCCUUGGAAAUUUAGGUAGAGCAACGAUCAGAGGCCUUGGGGCAAAAAUUGCCUUAACCUAUUCUCGAACUUCGAAUAUGUGAGACGUCCUUGUUACUUAAUUGAA